CACGCUGUAAACGAUGGAUACUAGGUGUGGGGGGUCUGACCCCCUCCGUGCCGCAGUUAACACAAUAAGUAUCCCACCUGGGGAGUACGAUCGCAAGGUUGAAACUCAAAGGAAUUGACGGGGGCCCGCACAAGCGGUGGAGUAUGUGGUUUAAUUCGAAGCAACGCGAAGAACCUUACCAGGGCUUGACAUCCCGCUGACCGGCAUAGAGAUAUGCCUUUCCCUUCGGGGACAGCGGAGACAGGUGG
This 248-nucleotide ribosomal RNA is filed under the name uncultured bacterium. RNAcentral describes it as "partial 16S ribosomal RNA". It matches the Rfam family "Bacterial small subunit ribosomal RNA", at positions 796 to 1041 of the family's 1533-position model. The record is from RNAcentral.